CAGUCGCCACGGUAAUACGAAGGGGGCUAGCGUUGCUCGGAAUUACUGGGCGUAAAGGGAGCGUAGGCGGACAUUUAAGUCAGGGGUGAAAUCCCAGAGCUCAACUCUGGAACUGCCUUUGAUACUGGGUGUCUUGAGUGUGAUAGAGGUAUGUGGAACUCCGAGUGUAGAGGUGAAAUUCGUAGAUAUUCGGAAGAACACCAGUGGCGAAGGCGACAUACUGGAUCAUUACUGACGCUGAGGCUCGAAAGCGUGGGGAGCAAACAGGAUUAGAUACCCCAGUAGUCCCUGUCUCUUAUAC
This 301-nucleotide ribosomal RNA is filed under the name uncultured bacterium. RNAcentral describes it as "partial 16S ribosomal RNA". It matches the Rfam family "Bacterial small subunit ribosomal RNA", at positions 509 to 807 of the family's 1533-position model. The record is from RNAcentral.